UACGUAGGUGGCAAGCGUUGUCCGGAUUUAUUGGGUUUAAAGGGUGCGUAGGCGGCUUUGUAAGUCAGUGGUGAAAUACUCUAGCUCAACUAGAGGGGUGCCAUUGAUACUGAUGAGCUUGAGUACAGAUGAGGUAGGCGGAAUUGACGGUGUAGCGGUGAAAUGCUUAGAUAUCGUCAAGAACACCUAUAGCGAAGGCAGCUUACUAGGCUGUAACUGACGCUGAGGCACGAAAGUGUGGGGAUCAAACAGG
This 253-nucleotide ribosomal RNA is filed under the name uncultured bacterium. Its description in RNAcentral is "partial 16S ribosomal RNA". It matches the Rfam family "Bacterial small subunit ribosomal RNA", at positions 524 to 776 of the family's 1533-position model. The record is from RNAcentral.